RNAcentral lists this ribosomal RNA (495 nucleotides) under uncultured bacterium. RNAcentral's name for it is "partial 16S ribosomal RNA". It matches the Rfam family "Bacterial small subunit ribosomal RNA", at positions 28 to 507 of the family's 1533-position model. The record is from RNAcentral.
GACGAACGCUGGCGGCGUGCCUAAUACAUGCAAGUCGAACGCUGAAGGAGGAGCUUGCUUCUCUGGAUGAGUUGCGAACGGGUGAGUAACGCGUAGGUAACCUGCCUGGUAGCGGGGGAUAACUAUUGGAAACGAUAGCUAAUACCGCAUAAUAUUGACUAUUGCAUGAUAGUCAGUUGAAAGGUGCAACUGCACCACUACCAGAUGGACCUGCGUUGUAUUAGCUAGUUGGUGGGGUAACGGCUCACCAAGGCGACGAUACAUAGCCGACCUGAGAGGGUGAGCGGCCACACUGGGACGGAGACACGGCCCAGACUCCUACGGGAGGCAGCAGUAGGGAAUCGUCGGCAAUGGACGGAAGACUGACCGAGCAACGCCGCGGGAGGGAAGAAGGUUUUCGGAUCGUAAAGCUCGGUUGUAAGAGAAGAACGAGUGUGAGAGUGGAAAGCUCACACUGUGACGGUAUCUUACCAGAAAGGGACGGCUAACUACGUG